Long non-coding RNA from Lagenorhynchus albirostris (white-beaked dolphin), 4111 nucleotides. RefSeq lists it as uncharacterized. Lineage: Eukaryota; Metazoa; Chordata; Mammalia; Artiodactyla; Delphinidae. The transcript has 3 exons. The record is from RefSeq and is a predicted model, not a curated record.
GCUUCAUCCCAAGCCUGACUUACGUAUAUGGUUACAAAGCAACUGAAAGACUGUUCAGGACUUGAGGUUCAAACUCCAUCCCUAUAAUCAGAUUGCAAACUCUACAGAGUAUAGUUUUAGUUUAGUUUAGGUUUUAGUUGAGUUUGGUUUAAGAAAAAAGUUUUUCUUCCUCAUAUCCAAAGAAAGAUACAUAUAGAAAAUUGUUAGAACUUAAUCAAAAUACUUGAAAAUAUAUAGGUCUUUAGAUACUGCUGUUACAUGUAAAUACUGGAGCAAAAUAUUGUUAAAUGGAAUGGUUAUUAAUGUUAAAGAACCAGGGGAUCUUGUAAAUGUUACAUUCAUGUGGAAUUUCUCUUUAAAGCAAAAUUGUAUACCUAUCAGCAAAGCAGCAUUUAAAGGGGUUUUUGAUUGGGAUGUGAGAAUGGUCUUAUUCUAUAUAAAUGGUAUAAAAGUAUGGCAUUUACUAAAAUGGGAUUAUCACUGGGAAACCUCAGGAGUAAUAAUAGACCUCUUUAGGACUAAUUGGAGGAAAGUAGUACCUGGAAGGUAGGGUCUUUCUACUGAACAGCAGAUUGAGAACUGAAUGUACAAAAAGGUGCUGGCUACUGCUGUAAGUUCUUAACAGUGAUUAGAGGCAGGAAGAUUCUGUUGGUGAGGAAAAGGGAAACCAAUAGCCCUAACCCAGCUCACCCACUCCUUUCCCCCUUUUCCUCCUUCUUCUUUUGCUUCUUGUUUGCAGAUCCACAGUUGAGACCCUGUGCUCUGUAUGUCAAGGUCACACUUGGCUCAUUGUUUCCGAUGUCUCCACUCUUAGGAUACAGGACACCAGUCUGCCGGGCCUUUGGGGUCUCAAAUAAAAAAGCGAGGUCUCCUAUAGGUUCUUCAGCAAGUCUCUCUGUCUGAGGUGUUUAGAAUUGUGUAGAAAGAUGGUCUCCAGUUAGGUUUCUUAUCAGCCAGCUCUGGGAUAUAAAGACCUUUGCUAAAUAUCAUAAAGUACUGCCUCCCUGCUUUCCUGCUUCUGCCUUCCGUGGGAGCAGCUGGCACAGUGUACCAUUGGCACAUAGUAGGGGUUCCCAUAUUUCAGUUAACUGAAGAGUUGCAGGGUCGGGGAUGAAAUUGGGAAAGAGGUCCCUAGUAGCAGAGUUGCUGCAGAAAGAAGUAGAGAAGACUAUUUUAGAAGGCAUGUGGACAGAGUGGCGCUGACCUGAAACAUGGAAGCUGUCAUCCUUUCCUUUGUUCCUAAGAAAGUACAGGGGAAGGUGAAAAUUCAUACCAUAAAUGACGUUCUGCACUCAGCAUGGGAAGUUACCUUUCCAGAUGAGGUUUUCUUCACAAUUAACUUCAGUUUUUACAUUUUUAUUUUCUAGAUUUUGGAAGAUUAUGCCAAACCUCCAUAAGAGAUUAGAAAAAUAUCUUUUACAAAGACAUUAAUAUAUACAUGAGUAUAAUUAAAAUGCCUUUUUGGUGUAAUAUUGUUAAUGAUUGUUAUGCGGAGGAAAAAAAAAUCCCUGAGUGUCAGCUACUGUGAAAGAGGCAUCUUUUCAGUUGUUGCUUUAUUGUGCACUUGCACCUAAAUCCAUUUGCUGGAUGUAAUUCGAGCUGCUCUGAGCCCAAGGAGUUGAAGGAAGCGGUCAGUAUUCAUCAGUGAGACCCAUGCUGGUUUUAUGCAGAUGGAUUUUUCACCUUCUAUUUACAGUGUUAACUGACAGAUUCCACAGAUGGUCAUUAAUUUAGAGACAUCAUUAGCCUACCAUGUUACUUUCAAUGAAUACUUGGAUGAAAGUUAAUAUAGGGAUGAAAAACUAAAUGCAGGAGGUUAUUGCUAGGAACAGUUGGUUCACAACAUUUUGCAGCAUGGAUGUUGACACAGGCAGAGUGAAAACUUUGUACUGAAGAAUUCAAUUGUUGAACAAAGUUCUUUGGUUUUGUUGUUGAUGCAGUGAUGAAAAUGUGUAUUAAAGUCCUUAAUGUGAUUGCUGGACUAUCAGGUUCUCUAACAUACAUCAUUGAUGAAACAGCAUUAUUCCAAUAGCAUGCAGAUGUUAACAGUUUACAUUUUGUAAUUAAAGAAACUGUGGAAUUUAAUUGUUAUUCUUGAAGGAGUUGAACUCAAAAUAGUUUUGUUUCCAGCGUUGUUGCAGUAGGUAAUAGUCUAUUCACAUCUCUGCAUUUAACAUAGAAAAUGACUAAAACCCAGUAAUUCAGGGAGUUAAAACUAAAAACAAGUGACAUUUCACAGCAAAUGCUGUUCUGAGUCUUUGACUCCUGUGAUUCCAUAUAAUUAAGUGGCAUUGUUCUGAUGACUGCAGCAUGUCAUACAAUCUGAUACUGCAGAUUUUGCUCAAAGUAAUCUGCCAAUUUACUGCAUAUGUGUACUAAGCAGGUUAUAGUUUAUCUGAAUAAAGAGUCUAUUUGAAAGUUCAUUAAACUUGUUAAGCCUAUAGGAUUUCCGUUGGAAAGUGUUUUUGCUUGGACAUCUGUUUAAAAAGUAACUAAAUAAUCUUCAUUAGAAGUGUUUAUAUUCAUCUGUUUUAGUUUUGUAGAUAGAGCUAUUGAUCUGAUAUCAGGAUGACCAUUAUCCAUCUUUUCACGGCCUGUCUGACUACAGGUGUUUUGUCUUAUUUUUUGACAGCCUUCUUUGUAUUAACGAUCUAGGGAGUGUGGGGAUAUGAUAUAAAUAUACAGUUAUAUAAACCUGAGAAUAUGCUGCAAUGUCUAGUUCCUUUGGAUACCUUAGAAGUAAUAUGUUUGUUGGAGGCACUUGUGCUGUUUGUUUAAUGUUUGGAUUUUACAGUUUUUGGUGUAUUCUCAUCAGUCUUAGCUCUAGAGUUCAAGCUCUCACUGGGCAGUGAUUACUGUCUAAUGUGCAAUUUGGCAUCUAAUAAAUGCUUUUUUAUGAUGAUGACAAUGAAGUGAACUUUAAAUUUUUUUUUUUACACUUUAGUAGUUUGAGAUACCAAUGAGUUGUGACAUUGUGUGGCAGGAUUGUGGCUUGGAAGGGGUUAAUGAGUGACUUCAGCCGUUUAACAAUGGAGGUAAAAUCUUUUGCUCGCCGGAAGUCAGAAGAAAACUCCAGCACAGCUCCCGGGAGACGGCGUUAGACGUCAUCUUCCCUUCCAAUCUUUGCUCCACGACGGCUAUACCUCCGGCCACGCAGGCCACCAAAGCCCUGCGUGGGCCGCCGUCUGGAGCGGGGUUUGAAGCUGAGGACUCGUGGAGUAAGGCUCCCAGAAGGCUUUGCGAGGCCUGGGAGACCUUGCGGCGCUCGGCCACCGGCAGCGCAGGCCGGCGGAAACACCAACGAGACGAGACGCGCUAGAGCGGCUCACAAGGCUGGGAAUCGAAAGUCCUACGCUUACUUCCAUCGCCCUAUUCCGGCAGCAGAGCUGCGCGUUCCUGUAGCGGCCGUGUUGCUCGGCCAGGCUCCCAGCCCACCUCCGCCACCCAACGAGAGGUGGCCUCUGCAGAACCCGAGCGGAGCGGGUGAGAGCGUCUGCGGAGGGCUCCUCUGGUCUCUCCCUCCGCACCAGCGGGAAGGUUACGCGGGGAGACGUGUUCAUCACAAGUGAGGGUGACAGUGCAGCUGUGUUCCGUGUGAUCGAGAAGAGGUAUGUUAUGCUGUGAGAGGGGUCGCACCUGGCCAGAAAGAGCUGAGAGCUAAACACCGACUGGACUUCAUUGGUUGGAGGCUUGUGGAAAGGGCACAGGGUCCUAACAGAGAACAUAACAAGGGCCUCAGGGAUCCUGUUUCCAAGGCCUCCAACAAGAGUCCACACCAUUGAGCUGAGGGUCACCUUUAUUUUGGCCAAAGAAAAGACCCAAACUUUCAAGGUUUCAUGGGCAGCUCGGAGUAGAAUUGAAAAGAAAACUAGAGAGCAUUUUGUCUAAAACCUCAUUUUACUGAUAAGGAAACUGAGGUGCAGGCAUCUUAGAGCUCAGUAAUUGGCUGCCUGCAGCACUGAAAAUGGAACCUGGCUCUUCAGUGCCUUUUGCCCAUCCCAGGUCUUUUCCCACCAUCUCAGGCUGUCUCCUGGUCAGGUUCAAGUGCAGCGGCACAUGUGUGAUCAGCUAACUCCUUGUGAAGAAGUAACUUCUGUCUCUCUCAAAAAGA